UACGGAGGGUGCGAGCGUUGUCCGGAAUUACUGGGCGUAAAGGGCGCGUAGGCGGUCAGGUCAGUCCCGUGUGAAAUCCCUCGGCUCAACUGAGGAACUGCACGGGAAACUGCCUGGCUUGAGUUCGGGAGAGGGAAGCGGAAUUCCGGGUGUAGCGGUGAAAUGCGUAGAUAUCCGGAGGAACACCGGUGGCGAAGGCGGCUUCCUGGACCGACACUGACGCUGAGGCGCGAAAGCUAGGGGAGCAAACGGG
RNAcentral lists this ribosomal RNA (253 nucleotides) under uncultured bacterium. RNAcentral's name for it is "partial 16S ribosomal RNA". It matches the Rfam family "Bacterial small subunit ribosomal RNA", at positions 524 to 776 of the family's 1533-position model. The record is from RNAcentral.